GUUACUAUGUCCGAGCGGUUAAGGAGUUAGACUUGAAAUCUAAUGGGCUAUGCCCUCGCAGGUUCAAGUCCUGCUGGUGACG
RNAcentral lists this transfer RNA (82 nucleotides) under Schizosaccharomyces japonicus yFS275. Its description in RNAcentral is "tRNA-Ser (TGA) (tRNA-Ser-TGA-7-1)". It matches the Rfam family "tRNA". From Rfam's summary of the family: Transfer RNA (tRNA) molecules are approximately 80 nucleotides in length. Their secondary structure includes four short double-helical elements and three loops (D, anti-codon, and T loops). The record is from RNAcentral. Lineage: Eukaryota; Fungi; Ascomycota; Schizosaccharomycetes; Schizosaccharomycetales; Schizosaccharomycetaceae.